UACCGUAUGCUUCAUGGGGAAUGCUCUCGAUCCC
This 34-nucleotide small RNA is filed under the name Bombyx mori (domestic silkworm). RNAcentral describes it as "ovarian small RNA-20756". Lineage: Eukaryota; Metazoa; Arthropoda; Insecta; Lepidoptera; Bombycidae. The record is from RNAcentral.